Molecule: long non-coding RNA, 2298 nt
Filed under: Olea europaea (common olive)
Lineage: Eukaryota; Viridiplantae; Streptophyta; Magnoliopsida; Lamiales; Oleaceae
Description: long non-coding RNA (OEUR_LNC000311)
Source: RNAcentral
UCGACUCUCUUUUUAUGUAUUAUUUCAAACACUUAUCAUAUCUCUUUUCACGCUAUAUGUUGCUGUAUAUAGAUUAUUUUUGUCUUAUAUUAUGAUAAAUGUGCAACUCUUAAAGAGUUCAUGGAGAAAUCAACGGCCACUUCCUUUAAGGUGUUUCGGUAUGAGUUGCACACAGUGGUGGAUCCAGCAUUCGGUGAGCACCGGCGACCGUGCUUUCUAAUCCGUUGGGAACAAAAUUUUUUGUUAAAUAUAGAUAAAAUUUUUUGGUUAUAUAUCUAGUAAUUCAUUUUAUUAGAAGUCAUUGGAUCGUGUCUCUUCCAAAAAAAAUUAUUUGCAAGUUUUCUAGUUCUACAAUUUUUAACAAAAUUAAUGCGAUCGGGAGGGGAUUCAAACCUUUGAACCCUCUUUAAAAUUAUUGAAAGCUUGACCAUUAUGGCACUCAUUGAAUUUUAAUACUAAAUGUAACAAAAUAAUAUAUGUUUCAAGUUUAGUGGUUUUAAUGCCAUUAGAAAGAUUCGAACCAGUGCUCUUCAUUUGAAUUAUACAAAAUUUGGCCACUAUAUCAAGUGGUGAAUAUUAUUAAUAUAUCUGACAUAAUUAAUAUAUAUUCAAUUUUAGCAAAAUAACUGUUAUAUUUAAUUUUUAAUAUUUUAUUGCGGCCAACGAUCAACGGUCAAUGGCCACCCGUGCUCACUCAAAAUCUUGCAUCCGUCACUGGCUGUACAUGCAUUAAAAUGAGUAUUUAGACCAACCAAUGGCUCACGGGAAAGCAAAUAAGCCUAAAGAAGUUCGCGACCAGGCUGAUUGGGAUUGUUUGUGUGACUAUUAGGAAAGUGAAUAGUUUUAGGUGCAUUUAUGUACAUUUUCACUUGCAUUUAUGUUCUUUUGUUACCUUAUUUAGGCUAUUGACUAUUUUCAAUUUUAUUUAACUGUACAUCAUAGGAAAGAUCCAAGGUUGCAGUUGAAAAUAGAUCGCAAUGAGAGUUUACCUAUUUUUUUGGUUCUAGAUUCUUUAUUCGAUAUCAAGCUAUAGAGGUAUAUAAGAAGUUAAAAAUAUCCAUUUAUGUUGGGAAAUAAUUUCAAUUCAAUUAAAUCUUAUUCUUCUUAAAAUAGGAUAAUAGAAUUGGACGACCAGACAUAAUUCAAUUAUGGAAAAACACACAUUAUGAGGAUAUUAAAUGCUAGAUCCAUCCGUGUGGUUGAGAAAUAUGUAAUGAACAAAUAUUUAUGUAUUUACUUUAACUUUAUUAUUACUAGAAUAAAUAUUUUACCGUCAUAUUUGUAUUAAUAAUUUUCUAUUGUCAUGCAGAAGGAGAUAAUAGACAUACAAAUCACAUAAGAGGCACAUGUUGAGGAAGGAGAGUGAGAGUCAAGGAGUAUAGCUCACUGCUGAUGAAAUCGCGACUCAAGUCCUUGGCACUAUUUCUUGCUACUUUAGGGGAUUGGGUAGGGGCCCAAAGAUUCCACGUGCUACAUCUCGCAUGAACACAACACAACACAACAAGAGAAUGCUAAACUUCGCCAAGUCAUGCAUAACUUGUAGAGCUGGAAUGAGCGUAUCCUCGCCUUUUGAGAGGAGAUAAUGAUAGGUGUUACUGCAAGAAUCCUUGGCACUAUUUCUUGCUACUAUAGGGGAUUGGGUAGGGGCCCAAAGAUUCCACGUGCUACAUUUAGCACGAACACAACACAACAAGAGAAUGCUAAACUUCGCCAAGCCAUGCAUAACUUGUAGAGCUGGAAUGAGCGUAUUCUCGCCUUUUGAGAGGAGAUAAUGCCAGAUGUUAUUGCUAGAAUCCUUGGCACUAUUUCUUGCUACUAUAGGGGAUUGGGUAGGGGCCCAAAGAUUCCACGUGCUACAUCUCUCAUGAACACAAUAAGAGAAUGCUAAACUUCGCCAAGUCAUGCAUAACUUGUAGAGUUGGAAUGAGCGUAUUCUCGCCUUUUGAGAGGAGAUAAUGCCGGGUGUUACUGCAAGAAUAUCAGCCCAAGAGUGCCCACUACUCAUCCAUCAACAUCACUUGAUCAUGAGUCACAUGAUGAUCAUUAAUUUAAAGUUCUUCAUUGCAUUUACAUGUUUUUAAAUCUUUAUGGUUGAUACUCUAUUAUUGCAUAUGCUACUAUUUUUUACUACACUAGUCUUCUCAUUUUUGGAUCUUGACUAGGUUUUUUUAUUGCCUGUUAUUAUUUUGGACUACACCUGCAAAUAUAGUUACUCAUAUUUUGGAAUUAGAAGUGAAUUAUAAAGGUACAAUAUAUUAUUUUACCUUGUACAGAUGGUUUGUUGGCUUUUGAAUUAUG